RNAcentral lists this ribosomal RNA (499 nucleotides) under uncultured bacterium. RNAcentral's name for it is "partial 16S ribosomal RNA". It matches the Rfam family "Bacterial small subunit ribosomal RNA", at positions 899 to 1397 of the family's 1533-position model. The record is from RNAcentral.
ACUCAAAGGAAUUGACGGGGGCCCGCACAAGCGGUGGAGCAUGUGGUUUAAUUCGAUGCAACGCGAAGAACCUUACCUACUCUUGACAUCCAGAGAAUUCGCUAGAGAUAGCUUAGUGCCUUCGGGAACUCUGAGACAGGUGCUGCAUGGCUGUCGUCAGCUCGUGUUGUGAAAUGUUGGGUUAAGUCCCGCAACGAGCGCAACCCUUAUCCUUUGUUGCCAGCGAGUAAUGUCGGGAACUCAAAGGAGACUGCCGGUGAUAAACCGGAGGAAGGUGGGGAUGACGUCAAGUCAUCAUGGCCCUUACGAGUAGGGCUACACACGUGCUACAAUGGCAUAUACAAAGAGAAGCAAACUCGCGAGAGCAAGCGGACCUCAUAAAGUAUGUCGUAGUCCGGAUUGGAGUCUGCAACUCGACUCCAUGAAGUCGGAAUCGCUAGUAAUCGUAGAUCAGAAUGCUACGGUGAAUACGUUCCCGGGCCUUGUACACACCGCCCGU